GACUGUGAUGUGGAAAUGUGAGC
This 23-nucleotide non-coding RNA is filed under the name Rattus norvegicus (Norway rat). The record is from RNAcentral. Lineage: Eukaryota; Metazoa; Chordata; Mammalia; Rodentia; Muridae.